Molecule: long non-coding RNA, 1028 nt
Filed under: Monodelphis domestica (gray short-tailed opossum)
Lineage: Eukaryota; Metazoa; Chordata; Mammalia; Didelphimorphia; Didelphidae
Description: lncRNA (ENSMODG00000036519.1)
Source: RNAcentral
GGCUCUCAGAGCAAUGUGGGGGAGGAGUGUUGGAGCUUGAACUUCCCUGCCCUCUGAAGGCUUCUUUUAGGCCCUAUUUAUAAGAUUGAGCUAGGGAGGAGUUGAUCUGCAGAGCUGGAUGUGCCCUGAGGCCAAAACCUCAAGAAGGGGGUGUGGGAAGAUGGAGUGUCUUGACCUUGACUAGGCUGACUGCCCUACACUUCUCCUCCAGGUGCGUCCCUGCUACCUGUGUUCAACACCCUGAGCCUGGCACAGCUAUUCCAGCAAAGUACUCCCACAGGACUAGUGUCCUUGCCUGCCCAGAGAUUCCUGAUACCUCUGAAGGCUCAGCACUGUAGGUGGGGGAGAGGAUCUUCCUUCUUCCUUCCCCUUAAAUCCAUGUGUUCUAGAUUCCAGCCUUUUUUGGUGAAGAACGAUUGAAAUUGUGAGCUUCAAAGGAUAUUGAGAAUGAACUACUGAAGAGGUCUAUGAAGUCUAUUCCAAUGAUCACUGAGCACAGGUUCAAGAUCCAGAGAAAGGAUGGAAAAGAAAGUAGAAGAAAAUAUGGGAAGAACUUGAAAGAGAAAAGAACUGAAGGACAAAGAGGAAAAAGAAGAGGAGGAAAGUGAAAGAAUAGAAAAGAUAGGUCCAGAUUAGUCCAGCUAAUACUCUUUACACAGAAUGUGUAUAUGCAUGUAUGUAUUUAUAAAAUUCCUGUCUGAUAUAUAAAUGAAACAUGGAAUUGGGAGGAAAUUUUAUUAAAGAGAAUAUACAUUUUUAAAAAAUGAGUCACAUAUAUCACAUAUUUAGAAUUCAUAUUGCAGCAAAUGAAAAAAUAUAACAUCAACAAUUUUAACUUUUCACAAAUCACAAUACCUGCAUAAUAUGAUAUUUUUAAAUUAUUUGAAAGAUGCAACUGUUUUCUGUUUGUCAUUAGAUUAGUAAAAUGUUAAAUAUUUUGAUAUGACACCUUGUUUAUUUUAAAACUAAGAGAAAAUGUGGUUAGACUUUUAAAAUCUUUUUUGGUAAAAUAUAUAUGUAGGUUAUUU